Molecule: long non-coding RNA, 546 nt
Filed under: Mytilus galloprovincialis (Mediterranean mussel)
Lineage: Eukaryota; Metazoa; Mollusca; Bivalvia; Mytilida; Mytilidae
Source: RNAcentral
GCACAGUAUUUUCAAACAAAGUGUUAUCACGUGGUUUAAAACAGUUUAAAGUCACUGUAAGUCAUUCAACAACACAUGCAGUAUAGUCAACUUUGAAAUGUCCCAACACUGCAAAAUGACAUUAUCAUAUAAAAUGCACCGACACGGCAAAAUGUCAAAAUGAUUCAUUAUCAAUCAAUCAACGAAAAACAUAUAUAAAAACAACAAUCAACGACAACCAAUUAAUAACAGAUGUCUUUCUAUGUACAGGCAUGAUUUACGAAGUUGACAUAAUAGAUUUGAUUAACCCUGUUCGUUGUCAAAAUGCUAUGUUGAGAUCGUAACUAUAUUAUUAUCAUUUUAACAGAUUAACAUAUUUGGAAUUAAUUUUAAAAGAUUGGUAAAUUUUUUCCAUGCAUGCGAUUUGCUAUAGGAUGGAGACCAAUGAUCUAUAUGCUACAAGACUAAAGUUUCAGAGUUUUUUUUAAAUCAUCAAAGAGAAACAACUCAGACAAAUAUCACACAUCAAUGACAAACAAUCCGGCCACUUAGUGUAGACAGCUUCAA